GACGAACGCUGGCGGCGUGCUUAACACAUGCAAGUCGAACGGAAAGGCCCUGCUUUUGUGGGGUGCUCGAGUGGCGAACGGGUGAGUAACACGUGAGUAACCUGCCCUUGACUUUGGGAUAACUUCAGGAAACUGGGGCUAAUACCGGAUAGGAGCUCCUGCUGCAUGGUGGGGGUUGGAAAGUUUCGGCGGUUGGGGAUGGACUCGCGGCUUAUCAGCUUGUUGGUGGGGUAGUGGCUUACCAAGGCUUUGACGGGUAGCCGGCCUGAGAGGGUGACCGGCCACAUUGGGACUGAGAUACGGCCCAGACUCAUACGGGAGGCAGCAGUGGGGAAUAUUGCACAAUGGGCGGAAGCCUGAUGCAGCAACGCCGCGUGCGGGAUGACGGCCUUCGGGUUGUAAACCGCUUUCGCCUGUGACGAAGCGUGAGUGACGGUAAUGGGUAAAGAGGCACCGGCUAACUACGU
RNAcentral lists this ribosomal RNA (467 nucleotides) under uncultured bacterium. RNAcentral describes it as "partial 16S ribosomal RNA". It matches the Rfam family "Bacterial small subunit ribosomal RNA", at positions 28 to 506 of the family's 1533-position model. The record is from RNAcentral.